RNAcentral lists this ribosomal RNA (450 nucleotides) under uncultured bacterium. Its description in RNAcentral is "partial 16S ribosomal RNA". It matches the Rfam family "Bacterial small subunit ribosomal RNA", at positions 354 to 796 of the family's 1533-position model. The record is from RNAcentral.
GUGGGGAAUAUUGGACAAUGGGCGAAAGCCUGAUCCAGCCAUGCCGCGUGUGUGAAGAAGGUCUUCGGAUUGUAAAGCACUUUAAGUUGGGAGGAAGGGCAGUAAGUUAAUACCUUGCUGUUUUGACGUUACCGACAGAAUAAGCACCGGCUAACUUCGUGCCAGCAGCCGCGGUAAUACGAAGGGUGCAAGCGUUAAUCGGAAUUACUGGGCGUAAAGCGCGCGUAGGUGGUUUUGUAAGUUGGAGGUGAAAUCCCCGGGCUCAACCUGGGAACUGCCUCCAAAACUGCAUUACUAGAGUACGGUAGAGGGUAGUGGAAUUUCCUGUGUAGCGGUGAAAUGCGUAGAUAUAGGAAGGAACACCAGUGGCGAAUGCGACUACCUGGACUGAUACUGACACUGAGGUGCGAAAGCGUGGGGAGCAAACAGGAUUAGAAACCCUGGUAGUCC